GGUCACACAGCUAAUUCAAAUACAAACAGUUGAAAGAAUGAUAAUUUUUUUUAAAAAGCCUUCAUUGUGCCAGUUUGAAUCAUUUGAUACUUUUAUUUGGUUGAAACUCUAUCUCUUUGAAAAUGUCCUCAUCUCUGCUUAGAAAAGAAAACACCUACUAACAGCCUAAAGGAAUUACGAAAUGUGAGUUGCACAAUUCAGCUUAGCCUCAGAAUCAUCAAACUCCAGUGGCAAGACAAAAGUCAGGAUGACUCACGAUGGCCCAGAAUGGAGCGGAUGACCCUGGUGUUUUCAAUAUCUGACCAAGCUCAACGUCUCUAUAGUAUCUGCUUCAGCCAAUUUCAUGGCUGUUGAAACAAUUGUUAUUAUCUGCCCAUUCCCCCUGCAGAAAUCUUCACAUGUUUGGGGUAGACACCCCUUAACUCACUAACAGUUUUGAGGACUGUGGUUUGCCCUAAACUUGGUUUAGUCAGCCUUUUGAGAAGAUUUUUAAUCAGGGUAUUGCCUCUGUGCAUUGUAUAGCUUCUUGAAACCACAGGUGAGAGUUGAAUACCAGAUAGAACCUAAAGUUGAGUGCCAGGUGGAUACCAAAGCCCUGAAAAGGGCUCAGAAAACCUCCACACCAGAGAUGUUAGUCCUCUUUGAACAUCUCAAGAACAAAGAGGAUGGAAAUUAGGUGCAUAUCUUACCCUGAGCUCUCCUUGAACUAAGGAUCUUAUGCCUGAGAAGCUACAUCUAAUUCAAAAUCCAUCACGGUGUAACUUGGAUUGUGCUUUUCUUCAUAUGUUUUCUUGUAUUUCUUGAAUUUUACACCACUAUGUUUCCUAAAAUUAAAAAAAAAUGGCUAUUCAACUUUAGUUUUGCACAUGAAUUCCCAAAUAACUUAUCUUCUUAGUUCUAAUCAACAUAAGAAUCCUGGGAGUGGGAACCACAUAAUGGAAUGUCAGAAAAGGAUAUUCUUUAAGUUUGGGCUGAUGCUUUAGCCCUAGAGGAGAAACAGCUUUUUUUCCUCCUUAGAAUGAGAAAACAUUCAAUCAUACAGAUGCCUGGUACUAAUGUCCAAUAGCAGAUUAAAUCCACAAUAACAAUAUUUUGUAUCUUCUAAUGAGCUUAAGCUGCUUUCUAAACAUAGGGAACUCUCUUUGAGAUGAGAGAGAAGUAACUCACUUUGAUGAGCUCAAUAAAUCAAUCAAUCAACACGGAUU
RNAcentral lists this long non-coding RNA (1205 nucleotides) under Monodelphis domestica (gray short-tailed opossum). Its description in RNAcentral is "lncRNA (ENSMODG00000036323.2)". Lineage: Eukaryota; Metazoa; Chordata; Mammalia; Didelphimorphia; Didelphidae. The record is from RNAcentral.